UUUUACAUUUAUAGAAAUUUUAUUAAUAAAUAACAGUUAGAUUUCAUUUAUCAAAUUUCGCAUUUAAACUGAAAAUUCCAAGAAGUUUAGCCAAAUUAUGAACUUUUACUAAAAAAAUUUGUAAGGGUUCCGCGGAACCCAGUGUCUCGCCUACUUUUGCUGUUAAUCACACACUCAUCAAAAAUGAUGAAAAAAAUCAAUAAAAUUAUUCCUCUCAAUACUAUCUUUUGAUUGUCAGAAGCUUCUGUCCAAGUUUGGUAAAAAUCCAGGCUAGUUUAAGAAUCUUAAAAAUGUUUUAAAUACUUUAACUGCAGACUGUAUGUAAUGUUUAACUGGAAGAAAAAAACUAAGUCCAUUUAUAAGUAAAAUACGGGAAAAAAUGGAAUUUUAUUUUUUACAAAAUUUACAUCUGGAUACUAUCUUCUGAUCAUAAACAAGCUUCUGGCCAAGUUUCUUACAAUUCCAGGAUAGUUUAAGAAAGUUAUUAAAAUUUUAAAAACUUU
This 503-nucleotide long non-coding RNA is filed under the name Mytilus galloprovincialis (Mediterranean mussel). The record is from RNAcentral. Lineage: Eukaryota; Metazoa; Mollusca; Bivalvia; Mytilida; Mytilidae.